CAUAAAUGAUUCCUGCGAGUUGUGGUAUCUGGCGAGGUUAAGCAAACGCGAAGCCGUAGCGAAAGCGAGUCUGAAAGGGCGCUUAGUCAGAUGCUGCAGACCCGAAGCUGAGUGAUCUAUCCAUGGCCAAGUUGAAGCGAGUGUAAUAGCUCGUGGAGGACUGAACUCGUACCCAUUGAAACGGGUUGGGAUGAGCUGUGGAUAGGGGUGAAAGGCCAAACAAACUCAGUGAUAGCUGGUUCUCUCCGAAAUAUAUUUAGGUAUAGCCUCAAGUGAUAGUAAUAGGGGGUAGAGCUCUGAUUGGGCUAGGGCUGCUCACCGCGGUACCAAACCCUGUCAAACUUCGAAUACCUAUUACCGUAUCUUGGGAGUCAGGCGGUGGGUGAUAAAAUCAAUCGUCAAGAGGGGAACAACCCAGACUACCAAAUAAGGUCCCAAAGUUCUAUUCUGAGUGGAAAAAGAUGUACAGUUACUUAGACAACCAGGAGGUUGGCUUAGAAGCAGCCAUCCUUUAAAGAAAGCGUAACAGCUCACUGGUCUAGUGAUUGCGCGCUGAAAAUAUAACGGGGCUAAGAUAGACACCGAAUUUGUAGAUUGUACUUUGUACAGUGGUAGGAGAGCGUUCGUAUCUGCGUUGAAGGUAUACCGGUAAGGAGUGCUGGAGCGAUGCGAAGUGAGCAUGCAGGAAUGAGUAGCGAUAAAAUAUGUGAGAAUCAUAUUCGCCGUAAGUCUAAGGUUUCCUACGCGAUGCUCGUCAUCGUAG
This 763-nucleotide ribosomal RNA is filed under the name uncultured Helicobacter sp. Its description in RNAcentral is "bacterial LSU rRNA". It matches the Rfam family "Bacterial large subunit ribosomal RNA", at positions 609 to 1377 of the family's 2925-position model. Lineage: Bacteria; Pseudomonadati; Campylobacterota; Epsilonproteobacteria; Campylobacterales; Helicobacteraceae. The record is from RNAcentral.